GGACCUGUAGUAUAAUUAGUAUAGCCAGUUUCGGCCUGGCUGGUGAGGGUAGAGCCCCUCUGGGUCUU
This 68-nucleotide transfer RNA is filed under the name Lingula anatina. Its description in RNAcentral is "tRNA-Arg". Lineage: Eukaryota; Metazoa; Brachiopoda; Lingulata; Lingulida; Lingulidae. The record is from RNAcentral.